AUGCUCACUUCAGUAGCAGUACAUAUACAAAAACUGGAACGAUACAGAGAAGAUUAGCAUGGCCCCUGAGCAAGGAUGACACACAAAUUUGUGAAGCAGUCAUAUAAAAAUUUUU
RNAcentral lists this small nuclear RNA (115 nucleotides) under Sciurus vulgaris (Eurasian red squirrel). Lineage: Eukaryota; Metazoa; Chordata; Mammalia; Rodentia; Sciuridae. The record is from RNAcentral.